GCAGUCGAGCGGCAGCACGGGUACUUGUACCUGGUGGCGAGCGGCGGACGGGUGAGUAAUGCCUAGGAAUCUGCCUGGUAGUGGGGGAUAACGCUCGGAAACGGACGCUAAUACCGCAUACGUCCUACGGGAGAAAGCAGGGGACCUUCGGGCCUUGCGCUAUCAGAUGAGCCUAGGUCGGAUUAGCUAGUUGGUGAGGUAAUGGCUCACCAAGGCGACGAUCCGUAACUGGUCUGAGAGGAUGAUCAGUCACACUGGAACUGAGACACGGUCCAGACUCCUACGGGAGGCAGCAGUGGGGAAUAUUGGACAAUGGGCGAAAGCCUGAUCCAGCCAUGCCGCGUGUGUGAAGAAGGUCUUCGGAUUGUAAAGCACUUUAAGUUGGGAGGAAGGGCAGUUACCUAAUACGUAAUUGUUUUGACGUUACCGACAGAAUAAGCACCGGCUAACUCUGUGCCAGCAGCCGCGGUAAUACAGAGGGUGCAAGCGUUAAUCGGAAUUACUGGGCGUAAAGCGCGCGUAGGUGGUUCGUUAAGUUGGAUGUGAAAUCCCCGGGCUCAACCUGGGAACUGCAUUCAAAACUGUCGAGCUAGAGUAUGGUAGAGGGUGGUGGAAUUUCCUGUGUAGCG
Molecule: ribosomal RNA, 629 nt
Filed under: Pseudomonas frederiksbergensis
Lineage: Bacteria; Pseudomonadati; Pseudomonadota; Gammaproteobacteria; Pseudomonadales; Pseudomonadaceae
Description: bacterial SSU rRNA
Rfam family: Bacterial small subunit ribosomal RNA
Source: RNAcentral